Molecule: ribosomal RNA, 492 nt
Filed under: uncultured bacterium
Lineage: Bacteria
Description: partial 16S ribosomal RNA
Rfam family: Bacterial small subunit ribosomal RNA
Source: RNAcentral
AGUGAACGCUGGCGGUAGGCCUAACACAUGCAAGUCGAACGGCAGCACAGUAAGAGCUUGCUCUUACGGGUGGCGAGUGGCGGACGGGUGAGGAAUACAUCGGAAUCUACUUUUUCGUGGGGGAUAACGUCGGGAAACUUACGCUAAUACCGCAUACGACCUACGGGUGAAAGCAGGGGAUCUUCGGACCUUGCGCGAUUGCAUGAGCCGAUGUCGGAUUAGCUAGUUGGCGGGGUAAAGGCCCACCAAGGCGACGAUCCGUAGCUGGUCUGAGAGGAUGAUCAGCCACACUGGAACUGAGACACGGUCCAGACUCCUACGGGAGGCAGCAGUGGGGAAUAUUGGACAAUGGGCGCAAGCCUGAUCCAGCCAUACCGCGUGGGUGAAGAAGGCCUUCGGGUUGUAAAGCCCUUUUGUUGGGAAAGAAAAGCAGCAGGUUAAUACCCCGCUGUUCUGACGGUACCCAAAGAAUAAGCACCGGCUAACUUCGUG